RNAcentral lists this ribosomal RNA (1175 nucleotides) under Escherichia coli. RNAcentral describes it as "partial 23S ribosomal RNA". It matches the Rfam family "Bacterial large subunit ribosomal RNA", at positions 1 to 1215 of the family's 2925-position model. The record is from RNAcentral. Lineage: Bacteria; Pseudomonadati; Pseudomonadota; Gammaproteobacteria; Enterobacterales; Enterobacteriaceae.
GGUUAAGCGACUAAGCGUACACGGUGGAUGCCCUGGCAGUCAGAGGCGAUGAAGGACGUGCUAAUCUGCGAUAAGCGUCGGUAAGGUGAUAUGAACCGUUAUAACCGGCGAUUUCCGAAUGGGGAAACCCAGUGUGAUUCGUCACACUAUCAUUAACUGAAUCCAUAGGUUAAUGAGGCGAACCGGGGGAACUGAAACAUCUAAGUACCCCGAGGAAAAGAAAUCAACCGAGAUUCCCCCAGUAGCGGCGAGCGAACGGGGAGCAGCCCAGAGCCUGAAUCAGUGUGUGUGUUAGUGGAAGCGUCUGGAAAGGCGCGCGAUACAGGGUGACAGCCCCGUACACAAAAAUGCACAUGCUGUGAGCUCGAUGAGUAGGGCGGGACACGUGGUAUCCUGUCUGAAUAUGGGGGGACCAUCCUCCAAGGCUAAAUACUCCUGACUGACCGAUAGUGAACCAGUACCGUGAGGGAAAGGCGAAAAGAACCCCGGCGAGGGGAGUGAAAAAGAACCUGAAACCGUGUACGUACAAGCAGUGGGAGCACAGAGCAAUCUGUGUGACUGCGUACCUUUUGUAUAAUGGGUCAGCGACUUAUAUUCUGUAGCAAGGUUAACCGAAUAGGGGAGCCGAAGGGAAACCGAGUCUUAACUGGGCGUUAAGUUGCAGGGUAUAGACCCGAAACCCGGUGAUCUAGCCAUGGGCAGGUUGAAGGUUGGGUAACACUAACUGGAGGACCGAACCGACUAAUGUUGAAAAAUUAGCGGAUGACUUGUGGCUGGGGGUGAAAGGCCAAUCAAACCGGGAGAUAGCUGGUUCUCCCCGAAAGCUAUUUAGGUAGCGCCUCGUGAAUUCAUCUCCGGGGGUAGAGCACUGUUUCGGCAAGGGGGUCAUCCCGACUUACCAACCCGAUGCAAACUGCGAAUACCGGAGAAUGUUAUCACGGGAGACACACGGCGGGUGCUAACGUCCGUCGUGAAGAGGGAAACAACCCAGACCGCCAGCUAAGGUCCCAAAGUCAUGGUUAAGUGGGAAACGAUGUGGGAAGGCCCAGACAGCCAGGAUGUUGGCUUAGAAGCAGCCAUCAUUUAAAGAAAGCGUAAUAGCUCACUGGUCGAGUCGGCCUGCGCGGAAGAUGUAACGGGGCUAAACCAUGCACCGAAGCUGCGGCAGCGACACU